AUUGAACGCUGGCGGCAGGCCUAACACAUGCAAGUUGAACGGUAACAGGAAGAAGCUUGCUUCUUUGCUGACGAGUGGCGGACGGGUGAGUAAUGUCUGGGAAACUGCCUGAUGGAGGGGGAUAACUACUGGAAACGGUAGCUAAUACCGCAUAACGUCGCAAGACCAAAGAGGGGGACCUUCGGGCCUCUUGCCAUCGGAUGUGCCCAGAUGGGAUUAGCUAGUAGGUGGGGUAACGGCUCACCUAGGCGACGAUCCCUAGCUGGUCUGAGAGGAUGACCAGCCACACUGGAACUGAGACACGGUCCAGACUCCUACGGGAGGCAGCAGUGGGGAAUAUUGCACAAUGGGCGCAAGCCUGAUGCAGCCAUGCCGCGUGUAUGAAGAAGGCCUUCGGGUUGUAAAGUACUUUCAGCGGGGAGGAAGGGAGUAAAGUUAAUACCUUUGCUCAUUGACGUUACCCGCAGAAGAAGCACCGGCUAACUCCGUG
RNAcentral lists this ribosomal RNA (490 nucleotides) under uncultured bacterium. RNAcentral describes it as "partial 16S ribosomal RNA". It matches the Rfam family "Bacterial small subunit ribosomal RNA", at positions 30 to 507 of the family's 1533-position model. The record is from RNAcentral.